GUCAUUUUGGACAUAUUUUACUCUCCUGUAAUGGAAAAAAUAGUAAACUAAAAUUUUAAAAUAUAAAAAUUAUGAUAACUAUUAUAAACAUAAAUAUGACUAUUUAUAUGUUUAAUAUUCUUAAUAGUGGAAUCAUAUUUUAUUUUAUAUCAUAACUCGGGAUAGAAUAUUUUAUUAUGGCCAUCUACUUAAUCUAGAAAUCGGAUAUUAAGUAUUAUACAUAGAUCUAUCAUAGGUAUAUAACGCAAACAAAACUUUUUUGUAUAUUCUAUUUUAGCUAGAAUUCAUUAGGUUAUAUUCUAGCAAGAUGUCGUUAGUCUACAUGUAACUUUAUUACAACUUAUACCCACGACUCUAUGAUGUACAUUUUCUUGUUUAUGUGUCAUAACAUGUUUUGUCUUUUACCUUAUGUUACGCCUACGGAAGAAUAAACUUUCCGCCCUCUCUAGAGUCUUUUACCUUGAGUUUUCGAUAGGUUCACAAAAGACAAUAACAUCAGCUCUCGUUGGUUAAAAAAUUUGCUCACAAAUAUUAUUUUCAAAUGCAAAAACAAAAACACCAAAGACUCUUAAAGACUAUAAAACAUAAUUUGAUCCGAUAAAAUCCCAAACAUAUGUUAUAGCUAGAAAAAAUACUGAUAUAUCAGUAGUCUAAUUGUUCUUCGAUGUAUCAUAUAUGCCAACAAGAUGUCGAACAAAGAAGUUUUAAGGAAUAAUCUUGUACAGAUUAAAUCGAUCUCUUCACUUCUUUUUUUUUGCUUCGAACAAUAUACAGGUUCCUGACUUCCUGUAGGAUAGGCCCAAAUCCCCAUUGUUUCAGACUAGAUAUGCUCGAAAGUCGAAAGAUAAAAAGUAGAGCAACUCAAUAGUUUUUUUUUUUGUUUUAAAUGGUUGCUUAUGCCUGCAGCUUCUAGAUACUUACGUUUGUGAAAAUGAAUUAUAUGUUACGCGGGGCAGUAAUCAUCAGGACUAGUUACUUUUUUUUUGUCAAAAGAAAAUUUCAUUAACUCGAAAUCAAUGUGGUUGGUACAGAUACGCAUCAAGCGCUUGUUUGGCUAGGCCAUCUUCCAAUACAAAGUUAAUGCGACUACGAAAAUUAAAGCGAGCAAGCUCCAUAGAGUUUGCGAAGGAGAUAACAUUGGAGACGAUUCCGUGAAGAUCGAAGAAAUUUGAUUCGCCUUCAACUGCUGCCAUCAGUUGAGAAGAAUCAGAUUCGAAGAUCACUUUCAUCAAUCCUAGGGCCCAUGCAUGUUCCAUGGCUUCUCUCAGUGCUAAUCCCUCUGCCAAAAGAGACGAAAUCACAAAAGAGGUUGAUUUACUAUGAGAUAAAAUAAUCUCUCCAUUUGCGCGGUAGAAGCUCCACGCUAAACCGGCUGUCGAUAUUCCAGAUCGCCAGGCUGCGUCAGAUCUGCAUAUGAUUGCAUCAGAGUGGCCUUCGAUCUGCGGAGUGGGGCGGCGGGAUUGUGUUCUUAGGUCGUAGCUUUGAGCCUCUUGCCAUUCCCUUGCGCUGAUUGACCAGAUGAUCCAAGCAGCGAGAUGUGUGGAGGAGAUGCCUGUUGGAGGGAGUGGUUUGGUCUGCACAGCAACUUGGAUCCCCUCUUGGACAUUUAAUAUAUAUCAGGACUAGUUACUGAUAAGCAGAAUUGUCGGUUUGACGUACGAAACCUUCCUUUGGAAUUUAUACGAUUGAUAUUGCUUACAAAUUGUAUAUGAUAGAAAUUGUGAGAAGAACGUUUUAUUAACUAUUUGAAUAUUGUCAAGAUUCUACAGUGAUCGUCAAGCAUCCGUCGGGUAUUUCCGACGAAAGUGUUAUACAGCCGUUUUGAAAGUUCAAAAUUUUCGAUGAAUGUUUUCUUCAUAAAAAUCCAUCAAGAAGUGAUCCAAAUUUAUCUAUAAA
This is a long non-coding RNA of Brassica napus (rape), 1896 nucleotides long. RefSeq lists it as uncharacterized. Lineage: Eukaryota; Viridiplantae; Streptophyta; Magnoliopsida; Brassicales; Brassicaceae. The record is from RefSeq and is a predicted model, not a curated record. The transcript has 2 exons.